Felis catus (domestic cat) is the source of this 3713-nucleotide long non-coding RNA. RefSeq lists it as uncharacterized. The record is from RefSeq and is a predicted model, not a curated record. The transcript has 3 exons. Lineage: Eukaryota; Metazoa; Chordata; Mammalia; Carnivora; Felidae.
UAUGUUAUUUUAAAUAAAUCCACUUUUUAAGUGGGGUGUCCUAGAGGCUAGGUUUUCCUAUGGCUUUCUUACCUUCAGUGACCUGGAGAGUGGAGAUGUUAGGAAAAUUAGAGAGGACAGCCUCUUAAGUCAGAAAAUCUGGGUUCAGGUAUAAGGUCUGCCAUUGAUUCCCUAACUGACUGGACUCGGGAAUUUCUUCCACUGCUCUGGCCUCAGUUUAUUUACCUGUAGAAAGGGCUACAGGUGGCCUGUCAGGUGGCCUGGGAUAUACGAUUCAUGAGCACACCCCGAGAGCUAGCCGCAUGAGGUUCCAAAGCCACUUGGCCUGGAAGGCUGAGAGGUACGGCCCAACCCUUAAGCUCUGUGCAGGUGAGAACUUGGCCUGGUCUAUGGCACCCCGUAAGUGUCAAACCUCUUGACCUCUUCCGCCCCCUUGGCUGGCCAUGCAGUUCAAGGUUAUGGUCACCAGGGGUCAGGCUUGCACGUUGAUGGCUAAGUUCUGCCUUAUGUGCUGCUGGGGGGUGGGGGGGCCUCCGGCGUGGGAGCUAGAGGGUCACAUGUUUCAUGUGGCUCCUGGGCUGGGGGGGGUCUGUGACCUGUAGAUCUGGAAGGUGAACUGCUGUCUUCUCCUGUAUUUACAUUCUGCUUGGUACCUCCUGGAGGGCUCCUCACAUCUUUGGCCCUCACCGGGAGACCCCAUGGAGGAAGCUAGUUCAUGGAGCUGGAGUCUGGAGAGAAUUCUGGGCAGGGAAUUUGGAGAGCGUUUGGGUCCUUGUUCUAAGUCUGCCUCUUAUUAGCGUCCUUGUGGAUUAUAUAGCCUCCUGAGCCCCGGGUUUCUUCAGUAGAAUGAGGUCACAAUGCCUCUCUUGCAGCGAUGUGUCAAGAUCUGGAGAGCUGAGGUGUGGCUAUGGGGCAGGGGUGGUAUCUCUAGGCCAGCGCAGCCCGUGUCUGGAAUGGCUUAUGUUGAAGGUGGAGACAUAAUAGAAAGACAGGAAAAGAAUCCAGUACAAGGACCGUCAGGAGGCGCCACCGGACCCUUUGCCAAGUCCUGGAAGCAAGCGCCGAGCUCCGAGGAGGGAGGGGGUGCUGUAAACCCACAAGAGGGCAGUUCACUGGCUUGCUCCUUCAUAGCCGGGGGAACAAACUCAGGGCUCAUCGGGCAGGUGGCUCAGCUGGGCUCUGCGGCCUUUGGAAACGAGUACUAGAUCAGGCACCCAGUGCAGGUGCACGGAGAUGAGCCAGGCCACAGCCUGCGGGCUGUUGGGCCUCUGGGAUUUCAGGUUCCAUUCAGCAGUAUUUCCUGAGCACCUGCUCUGGCUGCGGGAGCUUAUGCUCUAGAAGUAGACGCAGAUGCUUCCCGCGCGGCAAGAUGGCUCCCACCUUUGGUCCAGGCACCAGCCCCAGCCCCCAGAGAAGGCUUUCCCGCUCAUGAUCGCCCAGCCUCCUCCAAGAACCCCCCACACCCACCUUUAUAUUGCAGAGGGCGGAAGAUGCAUGGCCUGGGGGUCCCUGGCAGAGUUGGCGUCCUUGAUGGGCACCCACCCUUGCCUAUGAAUAGUCUAGCCCUCCUCCUGGCCCCAGCCCUGCUACGUCUCAGCAGGUGGCCAGCCAUGCGCCCCGGGGCUGUUCCCUGGCCCCGGUUCUCUGGUGCGGCUGGUGGUUCCCGAAAGCCGAAAGCCCGAGUCCUCUCCCUCGUGCCUGUUCUCAGGGCGGGUCCCCAUGGCCCUGAUGGAUUGCCCUCUCACCCCCAUCGGGUUGCUGCGGUUUCCUCAUCAGCAGAAAUGACUCCUCACCUACAGUUGUGUCAGUCUUUCCACAGAUGGAGUGAGUCACGUUGCAAGAUGUGGUCACAGGCGGCGCCCUGUGCUCCAGUUAGGGGCCAGCUGGGCCAGGCCGGGCUGGGGUUUGGGGCUGACCGUGCUCUGACUUGGACUUGGGCGAGGGAAGCAGAGGCCACCGGGGGAGCGCCAGCGGUGGGGGAGGACCGGUGAGAGAGGUCACGGGGCUUGUCCACACAGGCAGGGCAGGGGACUGAAGCAAGGGUCCGGUGACUGUGGCCGCGACCACACUGGGGAACCAUACGGCUUACUCACCCCCCGCCCGACCACGACACCCAGAGGAAGAGGGAUGAAGGGACCGAGCAGGUGCCCCCUCUAACACGCUGCAGUGGUGUGGGGGGAGCCAGGGACAUGAGCCUGUUUGCUUCUUCCUCUUCCUCUAGUUGGAGCUCCCAGGCCUGCUUCCCCUUCAGCUGACACGCAGUGGCCAUGGGCUGAGGGCUCCAGCCUCAAGACCGAUUUCUUCUUCUCUCGGCUUCACAGGCCCGGCCUAUAACUGCCCUCAGGUCGGGACUGUCUCCAGGAAGAGGUCUCCUGGCUUCCUUCUGAGCUCCACGACCAUAUGUCCCACUGUCUACUUGGCGUCUUCUUGAGAAUCUUCAACGUUACCUGAAAUUUAAUAUGCUGAAGACCAAAGGGUCUUCCUCCCUCUACCCCUGGUCCCUAAGGCUGCCCCUCCCCCCAGGGCUCCUCAGCUCACUAGAUGGCAAUGCCAUCCCCCUGCUUACACAAGCCAGUGUCAUCCUUGGCCCUUCCCUCUCUCUCCCACACCAUUUCAUGUUAACCCCCUCACUCAGCCCUGACAAUUUUACUUCUUCGGCAUCUCUCCGCUCCAUCCCCCCUCUCUCUCCUGCUCCAUCACUAGUCCGUGGGGCCUCGGUGUCCCAUCUGGUUGCUGUGAGGUCCCUCGGUGACCUCCGUGCCCAUCGAACCCCACCCAGAUGUUCUUCAUGCUGCAAUGGGAGGGAUCCUUUCAAGAUGCAAAUUUGGUCACACAUUCCCUCUCCCCAUUCAAUAGCCCCGCCAUGGCUCUUGGGAAAAGGAUGAAAUCCUGGUCUCUGCUUGCUUCUCAUCCCAUCUCGCUCCUGGCACAGCGCCUAGCACAUAGUAGGCACUUGGAUCGGAACCCAGGCACUCUGAGCUGAGAACCAAGCUCCUCGUGUUUACGCUGUUCUGCCCACUCCCUGCACUUGGCACAGAGGAGGUGACAACAUGGUGACCUGUGGAUGGAACCCAGCAGAAGCAGGGGGGAAGGCUGCUAGCUGGGGGGUGAGUCAGCCCUCUCCCUGUGGUCUGAGGCUGUCAUCAGGAACCGCGACAGUCAUUUCUUUCUUUGUGGCUUUGAGGUCUGGGGGCAGAGGGUGUGGGCUCCUGAGACCCCUCGGGCUGCCAUGGAGAGCUCAGUGUGUUGGGACCCAGGGGAUACAGGAGGGACUCUGGGGAGUCCCUGGGGGAGCUGUCCCCCCCCUCCCCACUGGCUGUGGACCUCUAGGACAGUGAGGGCUCCAAGUGUUCAGAGGGUCGAAUUUCAUCUUAACUCCCCAGGAGGCUCCUGCGCCCCGUUCUCAAGCAUGGAGAAUUUAAGGGACCGGCCCAAGUCCCCGUGGAUGUUCAGUGACACCGCCGGACUUGGUGCCAGGCCUGCCUGGUCCCCGAAGCCGCCCUCUCUCCCCUGUCCCAUGCCAGCCCCUCUGGGGGCAGCUCUGCCUCUCCUCUGAGGGGCCAAGAGGAAGAGAAAGUGAGGGGCGGAGCGGGGAGCUGGGUCCUGGCAGGAAGGGGAUUUGCCCCAAGGGUUCAGAUGAGGGAACUGAGGACAGAGGUUUCUCACGGAGGGGUGAGGGGUUGUGCAGGACGGAGGGACCCGUGAGACGGGCU